This 1607-nucleotide ribosomal RNA is filed under the name Blattella germanica (German cockroach). Its description in RNAcentral is "bacterial LSU rRNA". It matches the Rfam family "Bacterial large subunit ribosomal RNA", at positions 708 to 2330 of the family's 2925-position model. The record is from RNAcentral. Lineage: Eukaryota; Metazoa; Arthropoda; Insecta; Blattodea; Blattellidae.
UGUAGACGCGAAACCAAGUGAUCUACCCAUGGUCAGGUUGAAGGUUGGGUAACACCAAUUGGAGGACCGAACCGGUAAACGUUGAAAAGUUUUCGGAUGAACUGUGGGUAGGGGUGAAAGGCUAAUCAAACUUGGAGAUAGCUCGUACUCCCCGAAAUGCAUUUAGGUGCAGCCUUUGUUAUUACUAGUAUGAGGUAGAGCGACUGAUUGGAUGCGAGGGCUUCGCCGCCUAUCAAGUCCAGAUAAACUCCGAAUGCGUAUUAGUUUAGACAAGGAGUGAGGGCAUGGGUGCUAAGGUCCAUGUCCGAGAGGAGAAGAAUCCAGACCAUCAGCUAAGGUCCCCAAAUAACAGUUAAGUUGGAUUAACGAAGUCUAACCGCAGAGACAGCUAGGAUGUUGGCUUGGAAGCAGCCAUUCAUUUAAAGAGUGCGUAACAGCUCACUAGUCGAGCGGUUUGGCGUGGAUAAUACUCGGGCAUAAACUGUUUACCGAAGCUAUGGACGUCGUAAGACGUGGUAGGGGAGCAUUCUAUAUGCGUAGAAGGUAAGGGAUAACCCUUGCUGGAGCGUAUAGAAACGCAAAUGUAGGUAUAAGUAACGAUAAUGAAGGUGAGAAACUUUCACGCCGAAAGACUAAGGAUUCCUGAUCAACGCUAAUCGGAUCAGGGUAAGUCGGGCCCUAAGGUUAAGCCGAACGGCGAUACCGAUGGAAGAAAGGGUUAAUAUUCCCUUACUACUUUAUGUUAGUGAUGUGGAGACGGAGAAGUGACAGUCCUGCCAUCUGACGGAAUAGAUGGUUAAAGGGUGUAGACGCUGAUUGAGGUAGGCAAAUCCGCCUUAAGAGUCGAACCUGACAGUAUACGGAGUGCUUGCACGAAGUAAUAUGGAUGUAAACAGGCUCCCUAGAAAAUCCGCUAAACGUUAAAACAUGGAGUACCCGUACCGUAAACGGACACACGUAGUUGGGUUGAGUAUACUAAGGCGCUCGAGUGAUUCACGGUUAAGGAACUAGGCAAAAUAGUCCUGUAACUUCGGGAGAAAGGACGCCCGUCAGCGAUGGAGGCCGCAGAGAAUAGGCCCAGGCGACUGUUUAGCAAAACACAGGUCUCUGCUAAAUCGAAAGAUGACGUAUAGGGGCUGACACCUGCCCGGUGCCGGAAGGUUAAGAGGAGGAGUGAGAGCUCUGAAUUGAAGCCCCGGUAAACGGCGGCCGUAACAAUAACGGUCCUAAGGUAGCGAAAUUCCUUGUCAGGUAAGUUCUGACCCGCACGAAUGGUGUAACGAUCUGGGCACUGUCUCAACAACCCGCCCGGCGAAAUUGUAGUACCGGUGAAGAUGCCGGUUACCCGCGACUAGACGGAAAGACCCCAUGGAGCUUUACUGUAGCUUAAUGUUGGAUUUUGGUAUGUAAUGUACAGGAUAGGUGGGAGACGAGGAACCAUAGGCGUCAGCUUAUGGGGAGUCAACCUUGGGAUACCACUCUUUAUGUGCUGAAAUUCUAACCUGCGACCAUGAAUCUGGUCGGGGGACAUCGUUAGGUGGGCAGUUUGACUGGGGCGGUCGCCUCCAAAAGAGUAACGGAGGCGCUCAAAGGUUCGCUCAGCAUGG